RNAcentral lists this transfer RNA (87 nucleotides) under Candidatus Sericytochromatia bacterium. RNAcentral's name for it is "tRNA-Leu". It matches the Rfam family "tRNA". Rfam says of the family: Transfer RNA (tRNA) molecules are approximately 80 nucleotides in length. Their secondary structure includes four short double-helical elements and three loops (D, anti-codon, and T loops). The record is from RNAcentral. Lineage: Bacteria; Bacillati; Candidatus Sericytochromatia.
GCCGGGGUGGCGAAAUUGGCAGACGCGCUAGGUUCAGGGUCUAGUGUCUUUACGGACGUAAGGGUUCAAGUCCCUUUCCCGGCACCA